AUGGUGCUUGCGAAAUAUGCUUGCACGGCGACGGCCUUAAAACGCCAAAUGGCACCCUUUGUUUAUGAGUACCGUUCGUUUCCUCGGUGGGCUCGCCUGCCUUGAGGACCAACAAUAACCUUUGCAGUAGCCGUAUCUUCAGUUAAAAUAAAUAUUAAAACUUUCAACAACGGAUCUCUUGGUUCUGGCAUCGAUGAAGAACGCAGCGAAAUGCGAUAAGUAGUGUGAAUUGCAGAAUUCAGUGAAUCAUCGAAUCUUUGAACGCACAUUGCGCCCUUCGGUAUUCCGUUGGGCAUGCCUGUUCGAGCGUCAUUUAAUCAAUCAAGCCCUGCUUGGUGUUGGGUGUUUGUUCCGCCUCGGUGCGUGGACUCGCCUUAAAUUCAUUGGCAGCCGGUAUGUUGGCUUCGUGCGCAGCACAUUGCGUCGCGAUUCUGGCAGACCCCCUCCCAUUAAGCUCCUUUCUAG
RNAcentral lists this unclassified non-coding RNA (465 nucleotides) under uncultured Pleotrichocladium. RNAcentral's name for it is "sequence contains ITS1, 5.8S rRNA gene, ITS2". The stretch from base 159 to 312 matches the Rfam family "5.8S ribosomal RNA". Lineage: Eukaryota; Fungi; Ascomycota; Dothideomycetes; Pleosporales; Melanommataceae. The record is from RNAcentral.